AAACAAGACAAAGUCCCUUUCAUUGAAGGACAGAGUUUCCAAACUUUACAGUAAGUAACUCUUUACAUACAGUGGCUGACUAUUUAUCUCACAAAUGUUCUUCUCCCUUUAUGUUGGGUCAACAAGCCAUUCUUGGAAUCUACACAUUUUGAAGAAGUUGGCACAGAGUUGGGAUUUGAACAGUUUUUUACUCCAAAUGUGUAGAUCUAGAAUUGAGGUAGAAAAAAAAAAAAAA
Molecule: long non-coding RNA, 235 nt
Organism: Sinocyclocheilus rhinocerous
Lineage: Eukaryota; Metazoa; Chordata; Actinopteri; Cypriniformes; Cyprinidae
Exons: 2
Source: RefSeq, a predicted model, not a curated record